RNAcentral lists this ribosomal RNA (207 nucleotides) under uncultured bacterium. RNAcentral's name for it is "partial 16S ribosomal RNA". It matches the Rfam family "Bacterial small subunit ribosomal RNA", at positions 568 to 774 of the family's 1533-position model. The record is from RNAcentral.
CGCGUAGGCGGUUCUGUCGGUCAGAUGUGAAAGCCCGGGGCUCAACCCUGGAAGUGCAUUUGAAACAGCAGAACUUGAGUACGGGAGAGGAAAGCGGAAUUCCUGGUGUAGAGGUGAAAUUCGUAGAUAUCAGGAGGAACACCGAUGGCGAAGGCAGCUUUCUGGACCGAUACUGACGCUGAGGCGCGAAGGCGUGGGUAGCGAACG